Molecule: transfer RNA, 73 nt
Filed under: Anneissia japonica
Lineage: Eukaryota; Metazoa; Echinodermata; Crinoidea; Comatulida; Comatulidae
Description: tRNA-Ala
Rfam family: tRNA
About the family: Transfer RNA (tRNA) molecules are approximately 80 nucleotides in length. Their secondary structure includes four short double-helical elements and three loops (D, anti-codon, and T loops).
Source: RNAcentral
GGGGAACUAGCUCAAAUGGUAGAGCGCUCGCUUAGCAUGUGAGAGGUACCGGGAUCAAAGCCCGGGUUCUCCA